RNAcentral lists this ribosomal RNA (250 nucleotides) under uncultured prokaryote. Its description in RNAcentral is "partial 16S ribosomal RNA". It matches the Rfam family "Bacterial small subunit ribosomal RNA", at positions 524 to 773 of the family's 1533-position model. The record is from RNAcentral.
UACGUAGGGGGCGAGCGUUGUCCGGAAUGACUGGGCGUAAAGGGCGUGUAGGCGGUCAUUUAAGUUUGGAGUGAAAGUCCUGCCUUCAAGGUGGGAAUUGCUUUGAAGACUGGAUGACUUGAGUGCGGAAGAGGUAAGUGGAAUUCCCAGUGUAGCGGUGAAAUGCGUAGAGAUUGGGAGGAACACCAGUGGCGAAGACGACUUACUGGGCCGUAACUGACGCUGAGGCGCGAAAGCGUGGGGAGCGAAC